Molecule: long non-coding RNA, 1078 nt
Organism: Cyanistes caeruleus (blue tit)
Lineage: Eukaryota; Metazoa; Chordata; Aves; Passeriformes; Paridae
Source: Ensembl
CUAAGAGAAAGAAAUUCUUUAUUUAAAAAAAAAAUCCAUUUUAGCCAACCAUAGUAAUUGCUUUAAACAAUUAAUUGUCUUUAAGUUUUUUAAUAGUCUGAAGAACAGAAUGAGAUACCUCAGCUAUCUGGGGUCCUGUGAGCAAUCUCAUGGCUUUAGUCCUGACCUACAUGGAUUUUGAUUAGUUUACUGAGAUCCCCAGUUGUAUCCAGCUAUUUGUUUUCUAUUGGAGAAUGCAUGUUACCCAGGCAUAGUAAUUAACCUUACACAGGCCCUGCCCUUGUUAUGUAUUAAUCAUGUUUGUAUGGGCUACACACAUUACAUCACACCACUUUGACAUUUCCCACUUAGAAAGGUUUCUUUUGUGUUUGGGGAGGACAACUCCUUUCUAUGUUCUUUUUAUUCUUGUCAUUGUACCUGUGUAAGACAGGUACUUAACAUGUAGGUUUCUAAAGAGACAACAUCUACCUUUAUGAACUAACAUCCCCCUAAAUGUUGUUGUUACAGGCAAAAAGAGCUUCAACAAAAGCAAACUAAAUAGGCUGCUUCUUGGCUGAGCUUGUUAAAAGACUUGCCAACAAGACAAGGAACUCUCAGAAUUGUAAACAGCACAAAUGAGAAAUAAAAGAAUUACAAGCCUAGUGUUCUCCUCAGCCUGUCAUCCUCCUCUUUGGUUGCAGUCUAGCAGUUUUUGGAGGCUUCUCUUCAGGCCAAUAAAAGUUUUCUUUCUUCUACAUCAACCAAGAGCCACAUUUAGGCUGUUGGGGCACCUAUCUUCCCAUGAGCAUGGCUGAACCAUUACAUCAUCUGGGAUUUUGUGACCUUGCAAAGUGGAUGUUCUACUUGCAUGAGGAAGGUCCCAUUAAAUCCAAACCAAGAUAGCAUAUGUUUAAAAGAUAAGUGUUUGAGAACUAAUGCUUUUAUCUUACUAAGCUGUGCUCUGAGAUUAAUGUUUAACAUCUUAUAGUUCUAUGAUGCAUGUUUGAUUAUGACUCAAUAAUGACAUUUGAACUAUCCAUACGGUGCAAACUUGAAGUCCACUGUAAAAGAGAAAUAAAAUACAAUGAAAAUAGAAACA